CCUUAGGUAGCUUAAAAAAAGCCUCAGCCUCUUAAUCUGAAAAUGGGUAAUAAAUCCCUCUAAGGA
This 66-nucleotide transfer RNA is filed under the name Actinopyga lecanora. RNAcentral's name for it is "tRNA-Lys". It matches the Rfam family "tRNA". Rfam says of the family: Transfer RNA (tRNA) molecules are approximately 80 nucleotides in length. Their secondary structure includes four short double-helical elements and three loops (D, anti-codon, and T loops). Lineage: Eukaryota; Metazoa; Echinodermata; Holothuroidea; Aspidochirotida; Holothuriidae. The record is from RNAcentral.